GCCAGUGUUGUGUAGUGGUCUGAGUGUUGGACUAUAACUUUGGAGACCAGGGUUUGAUUCCCUGCUCAGCCA
This is a non-coding RNA of Phrynosoma platyrhinos (Desert horned lizard), 72 nucleotides long. NCBI's taxonomy places the organism in Eukaryota, Metazoa, Chordata, Lepidosauria, Squamata, Phrynosomatidae. The record is from the annotation of a GenBank genome assembly.